CAGCUCAUCGAGUGUGACAGUUGGGCAGGGUUGCUGAUACUCAGAAGCCAGGAAUAGAAUUCUUCAAAAUGAAGGCGAUGAGCCAUCACAAGGAAGGAUGAUGUGCGAAGGGGACCAGUGCAAGACAGGGUCUCGUGGAGCCCGGGCUGGCCUCAAAUUCACUGUGUAGCAGGAUAUGACUCCAACUUCUGACCCUCCUGCUUCCAUCUCCUGAGUACUGCGACCACAGAUGUGCACCCCCAUGUCCAGAUGCUGGGAAUGGAACCGAAGGACUUAUGCGUGCUAGGUGAGCUCCAUUCCCACUGAGCUCCAUCAGAAGCCCUGCCCUUUCCUUUCCUCCAUAAAGAAAAAAAUGUAAUAAAAGUUUCAGCUGAUGAUUGCGGC
This 384-nucleotide long non-coding RNA is filed under the name Rattus norvegicus (Norway rat). RNAcentral describes it as "long non-coding RNA NONRATT030584". The record is from RNAcentral. Lineage: Eukaryota; Metazoa; Chordata; Mammalia; Rodentia; Muridae.